Molecule: long non-coding RNA, 1822 nt
Organism: Alexandromys fortis (reed vole)
Lineage: Eukaryota; Metazoa; Chordata; Mammalia; Rodentia; Cricetidae
Exons: 8
Source: RefSeq, a predicted model, not a curated record
UCACCUACAGUGGCUGCUUGGUGAUUCUGCGCUUGCUGCUGACCAGUGCAAUCAACAGGUCUGCGCCCACCUAGGACCUGUCCAUCUUCCUCCGGCUUGGUUUCACCUCUUCUGCACUGUAUCUGUGUUAUUGACUGAGACUGCUUGGGAACUGCUGCUGUUCAAACCAAAGCUGAUGUGCUUGCUGUGUCUGCAAGUCUCCGGGAACUUGACUGGAGUGGCGAGGAUGUGAAGAAAGGACAAACAAAGUGGCAACAACCUAGAUGCCCAUCAACUGAUGAAUGGAAAAUGAAAAAGUGGUCCAUUUACAGAAUGAAAUAUUAUUCAACUAUUAAGAAAAAUGAAGUUGUGAAAUUUUCAAGUCAACGGAUAAAGCUAGAAAUAAUCAUCCUGAGUGAGGUCAAGAGGAAAAAACUUACAGAUCACCGUCCCAGACAACAGCCCUCUGCGCACCCAGGAAGAGAGUCUCGCUGGCGGAGCAGGAAGUGAAGAGAGCGAGCGGAGGAAGUAGCCGCUUUUUUAAAGGGAGAGAGAGACCACGCCCCAAUGGGCUGGUAUCUCAGCAGCUAUUGGUUGGAGGGGCGGAAGGACCUCCCGCAACAACCACCAUAGUGUCUUCGUCCAGCCACAGAUGGAGAUAGAGACAAAGACCCUCAUCAGAGCCCCCAAGGUCCAGUUGAAGAGCAGAAGGAGGGAGAAGAGGAGCAAGGAAGUCAGGACCAUGAGGGGUUGGUUCACCCACUGAGACAGUGUGCCUGAUCUAAUGGGAGCUCAUCAAAUCCAGAAUCUCAGGUCUUCCUUUUGCUUACACAUCUCACACCUGCACUGGAGAGAUGAUUCCAAGGAUAAAGGAUAAAGGCACUUGCCCUAAGCUGAGGACCUGAGUUGGAUUCCUGGAACCCUCAAGGUAGAAAGAGAUAACAAACUUAUCAUCCAGGAGGCAGAGGCAGGUGGAUCUCCGUGAGUUCGAAACCAGCCUGGUCUACAACAGCUAGUUCCAGGACAGGCUCCAAAGCUACAGAGAAACCUUCUCUUGAAAAACCAGAAGUUUAUAAGGAUAAGAAUCCAUGUGUGAUUCAUUUGGGAGCUGGAUGGUGGGUCCACCAAAAGAGUCUGAAGGGCAUAACAUCAUACUACUAUGGACUUUGAUCCUCAUUUCUCAAGUGUUACUCACCAAUGAGAUUAUACUGUGGAGAAAAAGAAAAGUGCACAACGGAAGACCAUUAUCAUUUUAAACAUUCAUUUUGUUUAUGUGAACAUGUCCCUGGAGGCCUGAAGAGGGAGUCAGAUUCCCUGGAGCUGGAGCUACAGGUGGCUCACAGAGGGUUCCCUGAGCCUUGAGAGGAGUGAUUUGAUGGUGAGGUCCUAUUUAAGACUUGAGUGUUCCCUGGGCUGAGAGAUCCUGGAGUUCACUUGAAGAGAGGGAGGAUGGAUCACAUGAACAAAGCAGGGUGGUCAAGAGCAUGAUGGCGAAAACCACAGAGACUGCCUACAUCCGACCCAAGCUAGUGGGAGCUCAUGGACUAUGGACUGACAGCUGGGGAACCUGCAUGAGACCAAACCAGACCCUUUUAAUAUGGGUGACAAUUGUGUGGCCUGGUCUGUUGAGGGAGCCCUGGCAGUCUCUCCAAGAGUUAUCCCAGGUGCAUGAACUGGCUUUUUGAAGCCCAUUCCCUAUGAAGGACAUCUUGCCCAGCUUUGAUAUUGGGGGCGGGGCGGGUAGGCUUGGUCCUGCCUCAAGUUGGUAUCCCAGACCUUGUUAACUUCCCAAGGAAGGCCUUACCCCCUCUGAGGAACAGAUGGGGAUGGGAAGGAGGAGGCG